UUUAUAUUAACGUGUCAUUCAUCAUGAGAGGCUGUUUUCAUUCACAGUAUCUGCCGCUGGUGCUUGGUGCAACAAAGUGUCCAAAUCUGCUCUGCAAGAUGUUUUGGAAAGUCUUUCCCACCGUGUCCAACCUUCUGAGUGCAUUCAUCAAGAAGAGCUCCUGAGGUUCACUGACACUUUUGGGUGUUUGUUUUUCACCUAUUCUUUCCAGGUUGGAAAGGCUGAUAGUCAAUCAAUGGAGUCUGAGCAGUCAAUGAUUCAAAUGUUCCUGCAAAGACUCAGUGUGGUUCAUGCUCAG
This is a non-coding RNA of Paramisgurnus dabryanus, 298 nucleotides long. Lineage: Eukaryota; Metazoa; Chordata; Actinopteri; Cypriniformes; Cobitidae. The record is from RefSeq and is a predicted model, not a curated record.